RNAcentral lists this ribosomal RNA (429 nucleotides) under uncultured bacterium. Its description in RNAcentral is "bacterial SSU rRNA". It matches the Rfam family "Bacterial small subunit ribosomal RNA", at positions 355 to 776 of the family's 1533-position model. The record is from RNAcentral.
UUAGGAAUAUUCGGCAAUGGGGGAAACCCUGACCGAGCAAUGCCGCGUGUGAGAUGAAGGCCCUAUGGGUUGUAAAUCACUUUUAUUUGGGAAGAACUGUAGGUAUAGGAAAUGAUAUCUACUUGACGGUACCUUUUGAAUAAGCCCCGGCUAACUACGUGCCAGCAGCCGCGGUAAUACGUAGGGGGCGAGCGUUAUCCGGAUUUAUUGGGCGUAAAGCGUGCGUAGGCGGUUUGUUAAGUCCAGAAUUAAAGCCCGAGGCUUAACCUCGGUUCGUUCUGGAUACUGGCAGGCUUGAGUAUGGUAGAGGCAAAUGGAAUUCCUAGUGUAGCGGUGAAAUGCGUAGAUAUUAGGAGGAACACCAGUGGCGAAGGCGAUUUGCUGGGCCAUCACUGACGCUGAGGUACGAAAGCGUGGGGAGCAAAUAGG